This 484-nucleotide ribosomal RNA is filed under the name uncultured bacterium. RNAcentral's name for it is "partial 16S ribosomal RNA". It matches the Rfam family "Bacterial small subunit ribosomal RNA", at positions 30 to 507 of the family's 1533-position model. The record is from RNAcentral.
AUUGAACGCCGGCGGCAGGCCUAACACAUGCAAGUCGAGCGGAUGAAGGGAGCUUGCUCCUGGAUUCAGCGGCGGACGGGUGAGUAAUGCCUAGGAAUCUGCCUGGUAGUGGGGGAUAACGUCCGAAAACGGGCGCUAAUACCGCAUACGUCCUGAGGGAGAAAGUGGGGGAUCUUCGGACCUCACGCUAUCAGAUGAGCCUAGGUCGGAUUAGCUAGUUGGUGGGGUAAAGGCCUACCAAGGCGACGAUCCGUAACUGGUCUGAGAGGAUGAUCAGUCACACUGGAACUGAGACACGGUCCAGACUCCUACGGGAGGCAGCAGUGGGGAAUAUUGGACAAUGGGCGAAAGCCUGAUCCAGCCAUGCCGCGUGUGUGAAGAAGGUCUUCGGAUUGUAAAGCACUUUAAGUUGGGAGGAAGGGCAGUAAGUUAAUACCUUGCUGUUUUGACGUUACCAACAGAAUAAGCACCGGCUAACUUCGUG